AAUAGAUACCCUGGUAGUCCACGCCGUAAACGAUGGAUACUGUCUGUUGGGUUGUAAGAUUCAGUGGAUAAGCGAAAGUGAUAAGUAUCCCACCUGGGGAGUACGUUCGCAAGAAUGAAACUCAAAGGAAUUGACGGGGGCCCGCACAAGCGGUGGAGCAUGUGGUUUUAAUUCGAUGAUACGCGAGGAACCUUACCAAGGCUUAAAUGUAUAAUGACAGGGGUGGAAACACCUUUUUCUUCGGACAGUAUGCAAGGUGCUGCAUGGCUGUCGUCAGCUCGUGCCGUGAGGUGUCAGGUUAAGUCCUAUAACGAGCGCAACCCUUAUCGCUAGUUGCCAGCGUUUCAAGACGGGGACUCUAGCGAGACUGCCAACGCAAGUUGCGAGGAAGGUGGGGACGACGUCAAGUCAUCACGGCCCUUACGUCUUGGGCGACACACGUGCUACAAUGGCCGGUACAGAGGGCAGCUACCACGCGAGUGGAUGCGAAUCUCGAAAGCCGGUCUCAGUUCGGAUUGGAGUCUGCAACG
Molecule: ribosomal RNA, 530 nt
Filed under: uncultured bacterium
Lineage: Bacteria
Description: bacterial SSU rRNA
Rfam family: Bacterial small subunit ribosomal RNA
Source: RNAcentral